Molecule: RNA transcript, 2570 nt
Organism: Arachis stenosperma
Lineage: Eukaryota; Viridiplantae; Streptophyta; Magnoliopsida; Fabales; Fabaceae
Gene name: vacuolar-sorting protein BRO1-like
Exons: 2
Source: RefSeq, a predicted model, not a curated record
GAUAGUUUCAAAAUCAGUAAUGAGCAAGGUUAGCCAUCGAUUUCCUCAUUCCUAAUCGAAUCCUGGUUCGCCGUCGCCAUGAGCAACGAUAAUCGGAGGUUGUUGAACCCGAACCGAAACCCGAACCGAAACCCGAACCCGAAUCCAGAAAGGCUUCUGGCAAUCCCAGUGAAGAAGAGUGAUCCGGUGGAGCUGUACAGGCCGUUACGCAAUUUGGUAGCGAGAAAAUACUCAGAGAGCGAUGCGCAGAAAGUUGAAAGCGUUCUGGAAACCCUAAACAAAUGCCGCAGCGACAUGGUGGAGCGAGGGGACCUCUCCCUUCCCAUGCAACGGGACUGCCUCAUUCACUACUUCAAAUGUCUUUGCAUGGUUGACCCACUCUUCACCGCUAUCUCCUCCGACUCCGAUUCCGACCCCAUCGUCUUUGUCUGGUACGACUCCUUCUACUCUGAGCAUGAGAAUGGGGUCUCCUCGCAGCGCAACAGCAUCCAAUUGGAGAAGGCUUCUGUUCUCUUCAACCUUGGCGCCGUAUGCAGCCAGAUUGGGGCCUCUUGCGACCGCACCACCCCCCUUGGCCGUCACGUUGCAAUGGACGCCUUCAAUGCCGCCACCGAAUUCUUCUUGAAACUUUGGCAGGUUCUCGCCAAGGACGUCUCCGCCACCCUCGACUUGACUCUCCACUUCGCCGAGAGUCUGCACCGCCUCUGCGGCGCUCAGGCUUUGGAGCUCAGAUUAAAGCAACAACUCGACAGCAACAACAACGACGCCGCCGCCAGUUCCGCUCUCCAACAACAUGGAAUUGCCGUUAUGUUUAAAUCGGUCAGUAUUAUGACGACGACGACGAAGAAGAAGAUGAUGAUGUAGGUUUAUGAGAAUUAUGAUAGAGUAUCUGAUCUGAUACUAGGUGAUUCGGCUGCAAUCGGACAUGUCUUCUCAUUUGACCGAACCUGGAUAGCUCAUCUUCAUCAGAAGGUGAAAUUCUUUAAGGUGGAGGCUCAUCAGAGGCGAUCAUCCAUCCUACCCAAAUCCGAGCUAUCUAAAACAGACAGAUUGAUCGAAUCCUGUCCUCUUGAUCAUGAUGCGGUAUCUGCCACUGAAAAUUUAGUUAGAGGGAUUUGUUGCUGGAGUUCAUUGGUCCAAUCCUGUCCUCUUGAUCUUGAUGCAGAAUUAGUUAGAGAGAUUUGGAAGCUUAAGCACAAGUCUAUACCGAAGCAAGAACGAAUCCCAUACCUUGACCUCCUCCUCUCUGAGUACAGCUCUUUCAAGAUUAUUGAUGAUGGAAAGCUAGUGGCCAACCCUUGGGACAUGCCUCCUCCUUAUCCAACAAAUUUGGAAAUCCUCUCUUCUUCGUCUUUGCCAAUUAUGCCUCCGAUCCCUUUGAAGAAGAGUGAGCCCUUGGACCUCUAUGAGUCCCUUCGCAGUUAUGUUGCCCUUAAAUACUCUGAGAGCGAGGCAGAGAGAGUAGAAGGCCUUUUCAAAAUGGUAGACAAAUUGCGCAGUGAAAUGCAGCGUGAUGACCUCUCUCUACCCAUUCGCCGUGACUGCCUCAUCCACUAUUUGAAAUGCCUUUGCAUGAUUGAGCCUUUGUUCCCCAUGACUACCUCACCCAAUCCACCUAUCUUUGUUUGGUACAAUGCAUUCAACCCACAACAGGACUCUUCUCAGCACAACAUCCAUUUCGAGAAGGCCUCUGUUCUCUUCAACCUGGGAGCCCUCUCCACCCACAUUACUCUCUCCUGCGAUCUCAGCACCGUCCAAGGCUAUCGCCUUGCCAUGGAUGCAUUAUAUGACGCUUCAUAUUGGUUCUCCAUACUGUGGAAGCUUGAGGCUGAGAAGGCAUCUGCCACCAUUGACUUGUCAGUAAACUGUGUCCAGAUGCUGCGCGAGAUGAUAGCGGCUCAGAUUGCCGACUUGACAUGGAAGUGUCCCCAUUCCCAUUCUGAUGGAUCAUCAUUAGCUGGAUUAGCUGGAUAUCUUGUUACUCUGCGUUGUCGGAAAGCUUAUGAUCUGUCGACAUUGGGGCCUUUAGCUGAGAAUCUUGUUCAAUCCUCAGAUACCUCAAUUUCUUGAGUCGAAGAUGAAAACCCGCCAUGCUCAAACUGAUCCUAGUGAUGUCACUGAACAAUUUCUUUCAGGGUAUUGUGAGGCUCAAUCCCUGCUUCAAGAGGGAUGUCAAACAGCAUGCUUGGACCUUCUCUCCAAGGUUGGCCCUGUCAUGAUUAAGGAUGGAAAUCUUAUGAUCAACCUUAGAAGCCUAUAACUAUUUUUGUGAAUAUAUUAUCUUCGCAAUUUUGUUUGUUCAUGUGUGAAUAUAUUCUUUCUUAUUCCUCACUAAUUCGUAGUGAUCUGUAUGCCUCCGAUUUCGUAGCCUUUGUUAGUUAUUGUUGCAUAUUGGUAGAUAGAAGGUAUCAAAUUAUUGCUUCUGUUGUCAUUCAAAUCCUUCAAAAUGUAUUGUUUGUAUCUACACAAUUUUCCUGAUGUGCUGCUAGAUCAAUAUCCUUUGAUGACUACUUCUGCAUGGUUUGUUUUUCACACUUAAACCAGGUUGAAGGUUCACUACUCAUUUUGGA